This 492-nucleotide unclassified non-coding RNA is filed under the name Talaromyces helicus var. major. RNAcentral's name for it is "partial contains ITS 1, 5.8S rDNA and ITS 2". The stretch from base 174 to 327 matches the Rfam family "5.8S ribosomal RNA". The record is from RNAcentral. Lineage: Eukaryota; Fungi; Ascomycota; Eurotiomycetes; Eurotiales; Trichocomaceae.
CGAGCCCUCUGGGCUCAACCUCCCACCCGUGCCGUUAUAAUACCUGUUGCUUUGGCGGGCCCACUGGGGUCACCUGGUCGCUGGGGGACGCCUGUCCCCGGGCCCGCGCCCGCCGAAGCACCCCCUGAACUCUGAAGAAGAUAGGGCUGUCUGAGUACCUAGAAAAUUGUCAAAACUUUCAACAAUGGAUCUCUUGGUUCCGGCAUCGAUGAAGAACGCAGCGAAAUGCGAUAAGUAAUGUGAAUUGCAGAAUUCCGUGAAUCAUCGAAUCUUUGAACGCACAUUGCGCCCCCUGGCAUUCCGGGGGGCAUGCCUGUCCGAGCGUCAUUUCUGCCCUCAAGCACGGCUUGUGUGUUGGGUGUGGUCCCCCCGGGGACCUGCCCCAAAGGCAGCGGCGACGCCCGUCGGGUCCUCGAGCGCAUGGGGCUUUGUCACUCGCUCGGGAGGGACCUGCGGGGGUUGGUCACCACUAAAUUUUUUACGGUUGACCUC